RNAcentral lists this non-coding RNA (65 nucleotides) under Mangrovibacter plantisponsor. Lineage: Bacteria; Pseudomonadati; Pseudomonadota; Gammaproteobacteria; Enterobacterales; Enterobacteriaceae. The record is from RNAcentral. RNAcentral also lists the same sequence under 1 other name.
UGCCGUACGACAUUGCUCACAUUGCUUCCAGUAUUGUUUGCCCGUCCUCUGGACGGGCUUUUUUU